Molecule: ribosomal RNA, 468 nt
Filed under: uncultured bacterium
Lineage: Bacteria
Description: partial 16S ribosomal RNA
Rfam family: Bacterial small subunit ribosomal RNA
Source: RNAcentral
GACGAACGCUGGCGGCGUGCUUAACACAUGCAAGUCGAACGGAAAGGCCCUGCUUUUGUGGGGUGCUCGAUUGGCGAACGGGUGAGUAACACGUGAGUAACCUGCCCUUGACUUUGGGAUAACUUUAGGAAACUGGGGCUAAUACCGGAUAGGAGCUCCUGCUGCAUGGUGGGGGUUGGAAAGUUUCGGCGGUUCGGGCUGGACUCGCGGGUUAUCAGCUGGUUUGUGGGGUAGGGGCUUACCAAGCCUGUGAAGGGUAGCCGGCCUGGGAGGGUGACCGGCCACAAUGGGACUGAGAGACGGCCCAGUAUCGUACGGUAGGCAGUAGUGGGGAAUAUUGCACAAAGGGCGGAAGCCUGAGGCAGCAGCGCCGCGUGCGGGAUGACGGCCUUCGGGUUGUAAACCGCUUUCGCAUGUGACGAAGCGUGAGUGACGGUAAUGAGUAAAGAAGCACCGGCUAACUACGUG